This 2901-nucleotide ribosomal RNA is filed under the name Escherichia coli. RNAcentral describes it as "bacterial LSU rRNA". It matches the Rfam family "Bacterial large subunit ribosomal RNA". Lineage: Bacteria; Pseudomonadati; Pseudomonadota; Gammaproteobacteria; Enterobacterales; Enterobacteriaceae. The record is from RNAcentral.
UUAAGCGACUAAGCGUACACGGUGGAUGCCCUGGCAGUCAGAGGCGAUGAAGGACGUGCUAAUCUGCGAUAAGCGUCGGUAAGGUGAUAUGAACCGUUAUAACCGGCGAUUUCCGAAUGGGGAAACCCAGUGUGAUUCGUCACACUAUCAUUAACUGAAUCCAUAGGUUAAUGAGGCGAACCGGGGGAACUGAAACAUCUAAGUACCCCGAGGAAAAGAAAUCAACCGAGAUUCCCCCAGUAGCGGCGAGCGAACGGGGAGGAGCCCAGAGCCUGAAUCAGUGUGUGUGUUAGUGGAAGCGUCUGGAAAGGCGCGCGAUACAGGGUGACAGCCCCGUACACAAAAAUGCACAUAUUGUGAGCUCGAUGAGUAGGGCGGGACACGUGGUAUCCUGUCUGAAUAUGGGGGGACCAUCCUCCAAGGCUAAAUACUCCUGACUGACCGAUAGUGAACCAGUACCGUGAGGGAAAGGCGAAAAGAACCCCGGCGAGGGGAGUGAAAAAGAACCUGAAACCGUGUACGUACAAGCAGUGGGAGCACGCUUCGGCGUGUGACUGCGUACCUUUUGUAUAAUGGGUCAGCGACUUAUAUUCUGUAGCAAGGUUAACCGAAUAGGGGAGCCGAAGGGAAACCGAGUCUUAACUGGGCGUUAAGUUGCAGGGUAUAGACCCGAAACCCGGUGAUCUAGCCAUGGGCAGGUUGAAGGUUGGGUAACACUAACUGGAGGACCGAACCGACUAAUGUUGAAAAAUUAGCGGAUGACUUGUGGCUGGGGGUGAAAGGCCAAUCAAACCGGGAGAUAGCUGGUUCUCCCCGAAAGCUAUUUAGGUAGCGCCUCGUGAAUUCAUCUCCGGGGGUAGAGCACUGUUUCGGCAAGGGGGUCAUCCCGACUUACCAACCCGAUGCAAACUGCGAAUACCGGAGAAUGUUAUCACGGGAGACACACGGCGGGUGCUAACGUCCGUCGUGAAGAGGGAAACAACCCAGACCGCCAGCUAAGGUCCCAAAGUCAUGGUUAAGUGGGAAACGAUGUGGGAAGGCCCAGACAGCCAGGAUGUUGGCUUAGAAGCAGCCAUCAUUUAAAGAAAGCGUAAUAGCUCACUGGUCGAGUCGGCCUGCGCGGAAGAUGUAACGGGGCUAAACCAUGCACCGAAGCUGCGGCAGCGACACUAUGUGUUGUUGGGUAGGGGAGCGUUCUGUAAGCCUGUGAAGGUGUGCUGUGAGGCAUGCUGGAGGUAUCAGAAGUGCGAAUGCUGACAUAAGUAACGAUAAAGCGGGUGAAAAGCCCGCUCGCCGGAAGACCAAGGGUUCCUGUCCAACGUUAAUCGGGGCAGGGUGAGUCGACCCCUAAGGCGAGGCCGAAAGGCGUAGUCGAUGGGAAACAGGUUAAUAUUCCUGUACUUGGUGUUACUGCGAAGGGGGGACGGAGAAGGCUAUGUUGGCCGGGCGACGGUUGUCCCGGUUUAAGCGUGUAGGCUGGUUUUCCAGGCAAAUCCGGAAAAUCAAGGCUGAGGCGUGAUGACGAGGCACUACGGUGCUGAAGCAACAAAUGCCCUGCUUCCAGGAAAAGCCUCUAAGCAUCAGGUAACAUCAAAUCGUACCCCAAACCGACACAGGUGGUCAGGUAGAGAAUACCAAGGCGCUUGAGAGAACUCGGGUGAAGGAACUAGGCAAAAUGGUGCCGUAACUUCGGGAGAAGGCACGCUGAUAUGUAGGUGAAGUCCCUUGCGGAUGGAGCUGAAAUCAGUCGAAGAUACCAGCUGGCUGCAACUGUUUAUUAAAAACACAGCACUGUGCAAACACGAAAGUGGACGUAUACGGUGUGACGCCUGCCCGGUGCCGGAAGGUUAAUUGAUGGGGUCAGCGCAAGCGAAGCUCUUGAUCGAAGCCCCGGUAAACGGCGGCCGUAACUAUAACGGUCCUAAGGUAGCGAAAUUCCUUGUCGGGUAAGUUCCGACCUGCACGAAUGGCGUAAUGAUGGCCAGGCUGUCUCCACCCGAGACUCAGUGAAAUUGAACUCGCUGUGAAGAUGCAGUGUACCCGCGGCAAGACGGAAAGACCCCGUGAACCUUUACUAUAGCUUGACACUGAACAUUGAGCCUUGAUGUGUAGGAUAGGUGGGAGGCUUGGAAGUGUGGACGCCAGUCUGCAUGGAGCCGACCUUGAAAUACCACCCUUUAAUGUUUGAUGUUCUAACGUUGACCCGUAAUCCGGGUUGCGGACAGUGUCUGGUGGGUAGUUUGACUGGGGCGGUCUCCUCCUAAAGAGUAACGGAGGAGCACGAAGGUUGGCUAAUCCUGGUCGGACAUCAGGAGGUUAGUGCAAUGGCAUAAGCCAGCUUGACUGCGAGCGUGACGGCGCGAGCAGGUGCGAAAGCAGGUCAUAGUGAUCCGGUGGUUCUGAAUGGAAGGGCCAUCGCUCAACGGAUAAAAGGUACUCCGGGGAUAACAGGCUGAUACCGCCCAAGAGUUCAUAUCGACGGCGGUGUUUGGCACCUCGAUGUCGGCUCAUCACAUCCUGGGGCUGAAGUAGGUCCCAAGGGUAUGGCUGUUCGCCAUUUAAAGUGGUACGCGAGCUGGGUUUAGAACGUCGUGAGACAGUUCGGUCCCUAUCUGCCGUGGGCGCUGGAGAACUGAGGGGGGCUGCUCCUAGUACGAGAGGACCGGAGUGGACGCAUCACUGGUGUUCGGGUUGUCAUGCCAAUGGCACUGCCCGGUAGCUAAAUGCGGAAGAGAUAAGUGCUGAAAGCAUCUAAGCACGAAACUUGCCCCGAGAUGAGUUCUCCCUGACCCUUUAAGGGUCCUGAAGGAACGUUGAAGACGACGACGUUGAUAGGCCGGGUGUGUAAGCGCAGCGAUGCGUUGAGCUAACCGGUACUAAUGAACCGUGAGGCUUAACCUU